Molecule: ribosomal RNA, 506 nt
Filed under: uncultured bacterium
Lineage: Bacteria
Description: partial 16S ribosomal RNA
Rfam family: Bacterial small subunit ribosomal RNA
Source: RNAcentral
GAUGAACGCUAGCUACAGGCUUAACACAUGCAAGUCGAGGGGUAACGAGAGGAAAGCUUGCUUUCCUUGUCGACGACCGGCGCACGGGUGAGUAACGCGUAUCCAACCUGCCCCCAACUAGGGAAUAACCUUGCGAAAGUAAGACUAAUACCCUAUAAUUUCCUCAGAUGACAUCUGACGAGGAAUAGAGAUUUAUCGGUUGUGGAUGGGGAUGCGUCUGAUUAGCUUGUUGGCGGGGUAACGGCCCACCAAGGCAACGAUCAGUAGGGGUUCUGGGAGGAAGGUCCCCCACAUUGGAACUGAGACACGGUCCAAACUCCUACGGGAGGCAGCAGUGAGGAAUAUUGGUCAAUGGGCGAAAGCCUGAACCAGCCAAGUAGCGUGCAGGAUGACGGCCCUAUGGGUUGUAAACUGCUUUUAUACAGGAAUAAAGUUAGCCACGUGUGGUUAUUUGUAGGUACUGUAUGAAUAAGGACCGGCUAAUUCCGUGCCAGCAGCCGCCGUAA